UGGGGAAUUUUGCACAAUGGGGGAAACCCUGAUGCAGCGACGCCGCGUGAUUUAGAAGGCCUUCGGGUUGUAAAAAUCUUUUCUAUGGGAAGAAAAUGACAGUACCAUAGGAAUAAGGACCGGCUAAUUACGUGCCAGCAGCCGCGGUAAUAAGUAAGGUCCGAGCGUUGUCCGGAAUCAUUGGGCGUAAAGGGUACGUAGGCGGGUAAGCAAGUUAGAAGUGAAAUCCUAUAGCUCAACUAUAGUAAGCUUUUAAAACUGCUCAUCUUGAGGGAGGGAAGGGAAGGUGGAAUUCCUAGUGUAGCGGUGAAAUGCGCAGAUAUUAGGAGGAAUACCGGUGGCGAAGGCGGCUUUCUGGCCAUAACCUGACGCUGAGGUACGAAAGCGUGGGUAGCAAACAGG
RNAcentral lists this ribosomal RNA (402 nucleotides) under bacterium. RNAcentral's name for it is "partial 16S ribosomal RNA". It matches the Rfam family "Bacterial small subunit ribosomal RNA", at positions 355 to 776 of the family's 1533-position model. The record is from RNAcentral.